RNAcentral lists this small nuclear RNA (91 nucleotides) under Mesocricetus auratus (golden hamster). RNAcentral describes it as "7SK RNA". It matches the Rfam family "7SK RNA", at positions 6 to 101 of the family's 331-position model. Rfam says of the family: 7SK was discovered as an abundant small nuclear RNA in the mid-70s but a possible function has only recently been suggested. Two independent studies have found that 7SK RNA binds the CDK9/cyclin T complex (known as elongation factor P-TEFb). The record is from Rfam by way of RNAcentral. Lineage: Eukaryota; Metazoa; Chordata; Mammalia; Rodentia; Cricetidae.
UGAGGCCGAUCUGGCUGCAACAUCUGUCACCCCAUUGAUCGCCAAAGUUGAUUCAGCUGAUCUGACUGGCUAGGUGGCCUCUCCACCCUCA